This 69-nucleotide transfer RNA is filed under the name Ictidomys tridecemlineatus (thirteen-lined ground squirrel). RNAcentral describes it as "Spermophilus tridecemlineatus (thirteen-lined ground squirrel) tRNA". It matches the Rfam family "tRNA". Rfam says of the family: Transfer RNA (tRNA) molecules are approximately 80 nucleotides in length. The record is from Rfam by way of RNAcentral. Lineage: Eukaryota; Metazoa; Chordata; Mammalia; Rodentia; Sciuridae.
GGGAUUGUAGCUCAGUGGUAGAGUGCUUGCCUGGCACGUGUGAGGCACUGGGUUCAAACCCCCGCACCA